GAUGAACGCUGGCGGCGUGCCUAAUACAUGCAAGUCGAGCGAACAGACGAGGAGCUUGCUCCUCUGACGUUAGCGGCGGACGGGUGAGUAACACGUGGAUAACCUACCUAUAAGACUGGGAUAACUUCGGGAAACCGGAGCUAAUACCGGAUAAUAUAUUGAACCGCAUGGUUCAAUAGUGAAAGACGGUUUUGCUGUCACUUAUAGCUGGAUCCGCGCCGCAUUAGCUAGUUGGUAAGGUAACGGCUUACCAAGGCAACGAUGCGUAGCCGACCUGAGAGGGUGAUCGGCCACACUGGAACUGAGACACGGCCCAGACUCCUACGGGAGGCAGCAGUAGGGAAUCUUCCGCAAUGGGCGAAAGCCUGACGGAGCAACGCCGCGUGAGUGAUGAAGGUCUUCGGAUCGUAAAACUCUGUUAUUAGGGAAGAACAAAUGUGUAAGUAACUAUGCACGUCUUGACGGUACCUAAUCAGAAAGCCACGGCUAACUACGUG
Molecule: ribosomal RNA, 497 nt
Filed under: uncultured bacterium
Lineage: Bacteria
Description: partial 16S ribosomal RNA
Rfam family: Bacterial small subunit ribosomal RNA
Source: RNAcentral